Molecule: unclassified non-coding RNA, 316 nt
Filed under: uncultured Monosporascus
Lineage: Eukaryota; Fungi; Ascomycota; Sordariomycetes; Sordariales
Description: partial contains 5.8S ribosomal RNA, internal transcribed spacer 2, and large subunit ribosomal RNA
Rfam family: 5.8S ribosomal RNA (bases 1-102)
Source: RNAcentral
AUGCGAUAAGUAAUGUGAAUUGCAGAAUUCAGUGAAUCAUCGAAUCUUUGAACGCACAUUGCGCCCACUAGUAUUCUGGUGGGCAUGCCUGUUCGAGCGUCAUUUCAACCCUCAAGCCUUAGUUGCUUGGUGUUGGGAGCUUAUCUUGCCGAAAGGCGGACAACUCCUUAAAACUAUUGGCGGAGUCGCGGUGACCCCAAGCGUAGUAAAUCUUUUUUUUCUCGCUUUAGGUGUUAGCGCUAUCUUCUAGCCGUUAAAACCCCCAAAUCUUUUAGUGGUUGACCUCGGAUCAGGUAGGACUACCCGCUGAACUUAA